GUGCCAGCAGCCGCGGUAAGACAGGGGUCUCAAGCGUUAAUCGGAAUCACUGGGCUUAAAGGGUGCGUAGGCGGCCGAGCAAGUGUCCCGUGAAAUCCCACGGCUCAACCGUGGAAUUGCGGGGCAAACUGCUCGGCUCGAGGAAGGUAGAGGCCGGUAGAACGAUAGGUGGAGCGGUGGAAUGCGUAGAGAUCUAUCGGAAUGCCAAAGGUGAAGACAGCCGGCUGGGCCUUUCCUGACGCUGAGGCACGAAAGCGUGGGGAGCAAACCGGAUUAGAUACCCCAGUAGUCC
RNAcentral lists this ribosomal RNA (292 nucleotides) under uncultured bacterium. RNAcentral describes it as "partial 16S ribosomal RNA". It matches the Rfam family "Bacterial small subunit ribosomal RNA", at positions 505 to 796 of the family's 1533-position model. The record is from RNAcentral.